This 468-nucleotide ribosomal RNA is filed under the name uncultured bacterium. RNAcentral's name for it is "partial 16S ribosomal RNA". It matches the Rfam family "Bacterial small subunit ribosomal RNA", at positions 28 to 507 of the family's 1533-position model. The record is from RNAcentral.
GACGAACGCUGGCGGCGUGCUUAACACGUGCAAGUCGAACGGAAAGGCCCUGCUUUUGUGGGGUGCUCGAGUGGCUAACGGGUGAGUAACACGUGAGUAACCUGCCCUUUACUUUGGUAUAACUUCAGGAAACUGGGGCUAAUACCGGAUAGGAGCUCCUGCUGCAUGGUGGGGGUUGGAAAGUUUCGGCGGUUGGGGAUGGACUCGCGGCUUAUCAGCUUGUUGGUGGGGUAGUGGCUUACCAAGGCUUUGACGGGUAGCCGGCCUGAGAGGGUGACCGGCCACAUUGGGACUGAGAUACGGCCCAGACUCCUACGGGAGGCAGCAGUGGGGAAUAUUGCACAAUGGGCGGAAGCCUGAUGCAGAAACGCCGCGUGCGGGAUGAAGGCCUUCGGGUUGUAAACCGCUUUCGCCUGUGACGAAGCGUGAGUGACGGUAAUGGGUAAAGAAGCACCGGCUAACUACGUG